UACGUCAGCCCCGCUGUGUUCAACGUGCCCAGCGUGGGGCGGGACCGGUUUGUGGUGUGGCCACGCCCCCAUCCCUCCUUCAGGCCCACGCGCCGGCCGGCUAACAGUUCAAGUCAGUUCGCGGGUGUUUGAAUCCGUGGAAGCCGGGUGCUGCCUCCCUACCCACAGUGACUCUUUCUGGCAGUUCCAGUCACCAGGGUACGGUGCUUGAUUCCAGCCCGGGCCUUUUGUGCCUCUCUAACUUCUCUGCACCUCAUGGGCUUAUCAGGCUGGGGCCCACCCCUGGGACCAGGCGCCAGCCCGAGGUGGAACCUGGGAGCUCCGAGUGU
Molecule: long non-coding RNA, 329 nt
Organism: Hyaena hyaena (striped hyena)
Lineage: Eukaryota; Metazoa; Chordata; Mammalia; Carnivora; Hyaenidae
Exons: 3
Source: RefSeq, a predicted model, not a curated record